CCCUGGUUAGCUCAGUUGGUAGAGCGCUCCACUUGUAAUGGCGAGGUCCCGGGUUCGAUACCCGGACCAGGCG
Molecule: non-coding RNA, 73 nt
Organism: Ixodes scapularis (black-legged tick)
Lineage: Eukaryota; Metazoa; Arthropoda; Arachnida; Ixodida; Ixodidae
Source: Rfam